AUUGAACGCUGGCGGCAUGCCUUACACAUGCAAGUCGAACGGUAACAGGUCUUCGGAUGCUGACGAGUGGCGAACGGGUGAGUAAUACAUCGGAACGUGCCUAGUAGUGGGGGAUAACUACUCGAAAGAAUGGCUAAUACCGCAUGAGAUCUAAGGUUGAAAGCAGGGGAUCGCAAGACCUUGUGCUACUAGAGCGGCCGAUGGCAGAUUAGGUAGUUGGUGGGAUAAAGGCUUACCAAGCCGACGAUCUGUAGCUGGUCUGAGAGGACGAUCAGCCACACUGGGACUGAGACCCGGCCCAGACUCCUACGGGAGGCAGCAGUGGGGAAUUUUGGACAAUGGGCGAAAGCCUGAUCCAGCAAUGCCGCGUGCAGGAUGAAGGCCUUCGGGUUGUAAACUGCUUUUGUACGGAACGAAAAGCCCCGGGUUAAUACCCUGGGGUCAUGACGGUACCGUAAGAAUAAGCACCGGCUAACUACGUGCCAGCCGCCGCAGUAA
This 498-nucleotide ribosomal RNA is filed under the name uncultured bacterium. RNAcentral's name for it is "partial 16S ribosomal RNA". It matches the Rfam family "Bacterial small subunit ribosomal RNA", at positions 30 to 523 of the family's 1533-position model. The record is from RNAcentral.